CCUACGAGAGGCAGCAGUGGGGAAUAUUGGACAAUGGGGGCAACCCUGAUCCAGCCAUGCCGCGUGUGUGAAGAAGGCCCUCGGGUUGUAAAGCACUUUCAGUGAGGAAGAACGCCUGGUGGUUAAUACCCAUCAGGAAAGACAUCACUCACAGAAGAAGCACCGGCCAACUCCGUGCCAGCAGCCGCGGUAAUACGGAGGGUGCGAGCGUUAAUCGGAAUUACUGGGCGUAAAGCGCGCGUAGGUGGCUUGAUAAGCCGGUUGUGAAAGCCCCGGGCUCAACCUGGGAACGGCAUCCGGAACUGUCAAGCUAGAGUGCAGGAGAGGAAGGUAGAAUUCCCGGUGUAGCGGUGAAAUGCGUAGAGAUCGGGAGGAAUACCAGUGGCGAAGGCGGCCUUCUGGACUGACACUGACACUGAGGUGCGAAAGCGUGGGUAGCAAACAGGAUUAGAUACCCUAGUAGUC
This 465-nucleotide ribosomal RNA is filed under the name Vreelandella stevensii. RNAcentral describes it as "partial 16S ribosomal RNA". It matches the Rfam family "Bacterial small subunit ribosomal RNA", at positions 338 to 795 of the family's 1533-position model. Lineage: Bacteria; Pseudomonadati; Pseudomonadota; Gammaproteobacteria; Oceanospirillales; Halomonadaceae. The record is from RNAcentral.